AAUCAACGCUGGCGGCGUGCCUCAGACAUGCAAGUCGAACGAUUAAAGCUCUCUUCGGAGAGUGUAUAGAGUGGCGCACGGGUGAGUAACACGUAAGUAAUCUACCCUCGAGUGGGGAAUAACAACCGGAAACGGUUGCUAAUACCGCAUAAUGCAGCGGCACCGCAAGGUGACAGUUGUUAAAGAUUUAUCGCUUGAGGAGGAGCUUGCGGCAGAUUAGCUAGUUGGUAGGGUAACGGCUUACCAAGGCUACGAUCUGUAACCGGUCUAAGAGGACGGUCGGUCACACUGACACUGAAUAACGGGUCAGACUCCUACGGGAGGCAGCAGUCGGGAAUUUUGGGCAAUGGGCGAAAGCCUGACCCAGCAACGCCGCGUGAAGGGUGAAGUAUUUCGGUAUGUAAACUUCGAAAGAAUAGGAAGAAUUAAUGACGGUACUAUUUAUAAGGUCCGGCUAACUACGUG
Molecule: ribosomal RNA, 465 nt
Filed under: uncultured bacterium
Lineage: Bacteria
Description: bacterial SSU rRNA
Rfam family: Bacterial small subunit ribosomal RNA
Source: RNAcentral